GACUACUUGUAUGUAUAAGGUUUGCAGGGUCACACUCAAAGGCCCCAGAUAAGGCAAAGCACUUAAGAGUAGAAACUGGAGUACUGAUACAGCUGCUGUUGCAAGCAAAGAGGAAUGCUAUCAGAGCUACAGACUAAAACCGUCACAGGAUUUUGAGCUUCUUCUUCACUGAAAUCACUUCACUGAAAUACCUUGUCACAAAGACAGGAUGGCCACCCUUUUUUCUCACUCUGCCUCCAGGCCCUCCUUGUGGCCUGUAACUGGUCUCUGAAGCAAAUGCCUGAGCUGGAUGUGGAGAUUUAUAUGGAAGGUGGGAUCUCACUUUGAGGCUACAAUGCAACUUCCUUUUCUUCGGAGAUGUGGAAGAACCUUUGUGUUCAUUCUGCCCAACUUUCAUAUUGCCCACUUCACUGAUGAAGCAAAGAGAGGAGGGAACCUGCCAUGAGAAGUUUCUUAAUGUUUAUCUUCUCUUCAUUUGUAGUUGGCCUUGAAUGAUAGGAGGUGAAUACCUUCUCCUGGCUCAGAGAGGUCACUGCAGAAUGUCAUGAAUGUUCUUCAUUGGGAAAAGGGAAGACAUUUUCUCUAAAGCUGCCUAUAUUGUACCUACUUUGUACAAAAAGAGGGUUUUACUCUAUGAUGCUGCAUUACCACCCCUUCAAUAAAAUUUGAAAAUCUGCAAA
This is a long non-coding RNA of Vidua chalybeata, 680 nucleotides long. RefSeq lists it as uncharacterized. Lineage: Eukaryota; Metazoa; Chordata; Aves; Passeriformes; Viduidae. The record is from RefSeq and is a predicted model, not a curated record. The transcript is spliced from 4 exons.